GCGAGAGUAGCUCAGUUGGUAGAGCAUCAGCCUUCCAAGCUGAGGGUCGCGAGUUCGAGCCUCGUCUCUCGCUCCA
This 76-nucleotide transfer RNA is filed under the name Aridibacter famidurans. Its description in RNAcentral is "tRNA-Gly". It matches the Rfam family "tRNA". Rfam says of the family: Transfer RNA (tRNA) molecules are approximately 80 nucleotides in length. Their secondary structure includes four short double-helical elements and three loops (D, anti-codon, and T loops). RNAcentral also lists the same sequence under 4 other names. The record is from RNAcentral. Lineage: Bacteria; Pseudomonadati; Acidobacteriota; Blastocatellia; Blastocatellales; Blastocatellaceae.